RNAcentral lists this unclassified non-coding RNA (248 nucleotides) under Hevea brasiliensis (rubber tree). Lineage: Eukaryota; Viridiplantae; Streptophyta; Magnoliopsida; Malpighiales; Euphorbiaceae. The record is from RNAcentral.
CUCACUCUUGAACUCUUCCAGCAUUGUUUCAAUUUUUCAACAUUACAUAGCAUCAAAAUGAGCAAAGCUAUCUUUCUGUUUCCAUCUUUGCUUCCAAGCUACCAUCUUUAAUGAACUUUUCUAGUCAUUAGCACAGCACACACUGCAGUGUCUGGUAGUUUUACCGUCUACUUGAAAGAAAAUUGUUCACCUGGAGUGUACUAAAGAACAGAUCAACCUAACACAAUAUCCAGAUCCUCAUAUAGUUG